CUACGGGGGGCACCAGUGGGGAAUAUUGCACAAUGGGCGCAAGCCUGAUGCAGCCAUGCCGCGUGUAUGAAGAAGGCCUUCGGGUUGUAAAGUACUUUCAGCGGGGAGGAAGGGAGUAAAGUUAAUACCUUUACUCAUUGACGUUACCCGCAGAAGAAGCACCGGCUAACUCCGUGCCAGCAGCCGCGGUAAUACGGAGGGUGCAAGCGUUAAUCGGAAUUACUGGGCGUAAAGCGCACGCAGGCGGUUUGUUAAGUCAGAUGUGAAAUCCCCGGGCUCAACCUGGGAACUGCAUCUGAUACUGGCAAGCUUGAGCCUCGUAGAGGGGGGUAGAAUUCCAGGUGUAGCGGUGAAAUGCGUAGAGAUCUGGAGGAAUACCGGUGGCGAAGGCGGCCCCCUGGACGAAGACUGACGCUCAGGUGCGAAAGCGUGGGGAGCAAACAGGAUUAGAUACCCCCGUAGUC
This 464-nucleotide ribosomal RNA is filed under the name uncultured bacterium. Its description in RNAcentral is "partial 16S ribosomal RNA". It matches the Rfam family "Bacterial small subunit ribosomal RNA", at positions 339 to 795 of the family's 1533-position model. The record is from RNAcentral.